RNAcentral lists this ribosomal RNA (329 nucleotides) under uncultured Streptococcus sp. RNAcentral's name for it is "bacterial SSU rRNA". It matches the Rfam family "Bacterial small subunit ribosomal RNA", at positions 1047 to 1382 of the family's 1533-position model. Lineage: Bacteria; Bacillati; Bacillota; Bacilli; Lactobacillales; Streptococcaceae. The record is from RNAcentral.
GGUUGUCGUCAGCUCGUGUCGUGAGAUGUGGUUAGUCCCGCACGAGCGCAACCCUAUUGUUAGUUGCCAUCAUUCAGUUGGGCACUCUAGCGAGACUGCCGGUAAUAAACCGGAGGAAGGUGGGGAUGACGUCAAAUCAUCAUGCCCCUUAUGACCUGGGCUACACACGUGCUACAAUGGUUGGUACAACGAGUUGCGAGUCGGUGACGGCGAGCUAAUCUCUUAAAGCCAAUCUCAGUUCGGAUUGUAGGCUGCAACUCGCCUACAUGAAGUCGGAAUCGCUAGUAAUCGCGGAUCAGCACGCCGCGGUGAAUACGUUCCCGGGCCUU